RNAcentral lists this ribosomal RNA (400 nucleotides) under uncultured bacterium. RNAcentral describes it as "bacterial SSU rRNA". It matches the Rfam family "Bacterial small subunit ribosomal RNA", at positions 356 to 773 of the family's 1533-position model. The record is from RNAcentral.
GGGGAAUAUUGCACAAUGGAGGAAACUCUGAUGCAGCAACGCCGCGUGAGUGAUGAAGGUCUUCGGAUUGUAAAGCUCUGUCUUCUGGGACGAUAAUGACGGUACCAGAGGAGGAAGCCACUGCUAACUACGUGCCAGCAGCCGCGGUAAUACGUAGGUAGCAAGCGUUGUCCGGAUUUACUGGGCGUAAAGGAUGUGUAGGCGGAUAUUUAAGUGAGAUGUGAAAUCCCCGGGCUUAACUUGGGGGCUGCAUUUCAAACUGGAUGUCUAGAGUGCAGGAGAGGAAAGCAGAAUUCCUAGUGUAGCGGUGAAAUGCGUAGAGAUUAGGAAGAAUACCAGUGGCGAAGGGGGCUUUCUGGACUGUAACUGACGCUGAGGCGCGAAAGCGUGGGGAGCAAAC